Molecule: ribosomal RNA, 795 nt
Filed under: uncultured archaeon
Lineage: Archaea
Description: bacterial SSU rRNA
Rfam family: Archaeal small subunit ribosomal RNA
Source: RNAcentral
ACGGCUCAGUAACACGUGGACAACCUACCCUGAGGUCGGGGAUAAACCCGGGAAACUGGGUAUAAUACCCGAUAGAUCUAGAUCGCUGGAAUGCUUUUAGGUCUAAAGUUCCGACGCCUCAGGAUGGGUCUGCGGCCUAUCAGGGUAGUAGUGGGUGUAAAGUACCUACUAGCCUACGACGGGUACGGGUUGUGAGAGCAAGAGCCCGGAGAUGGAUUCUGAGACACGAAUCCAGGCCCUACGGGGUGCAGCAGGCGCGAAACCUUUACAAUGCUGGCAACAGCGAUAAGGGGACCUCGAGUGCUACGAUACAAUCGUGGCUGUCUAGUUGCCUAAAAAGCAAUUGAUAGCAAGGGCCGGGCAAGACCGGUGCCAGCCGCCGCGGUAACACCGGCGGCUCGAGUGGUAACCGCUAUUAUUGGGUCUAAAGGGUCUGUAGCCGGCUUAGUUAGUCUCUUGAGAAAUCUGGCCGCUCAACGGUCAGGCGUUCAGGGGAUACUGCUAAAGCUCGAGACCGGGAGAGGUGAGAGGUACUUCAGGGGUAGGGGUGAAAUCUUGUAAUCCUUGAAGGACCACCAGUGGCGAAGGCGUCUCACCAGAACGGAUCUGACGGCAAGGGACGAAAGCUAGGGGCACGAACCGGAUUAGAUACCCGGGUAGUCCUAGCCGUAAACGAUACUCGCCAGGUGUCGGCCACGGUGCGACCGUGGUCGGUGCCGUAGGGAAGCCGUGAAGCGAGCCACCUGGGAAGUACGGCCGCAAGGCUGAAACUUAAAGGAAUUGGCGGGGGAGCAC